This 253-nucleotide ribosomal RNA is filed under the name uncultured bacterium. RNAcentral's name for it is "partial 16S ribosomal RNA". It matches the Rfam family "Bacterial small subunit ribosomal RNA", at positions 524 to 776 of the family's 1533-position model. The record is from RNAcentral.
UACGUAGGGUGCGAGCGUUGUCCGGAAUUAUUGGGCGUAAAGAGCUUGUAGGCGGUUUGUCGCGUCUGCUGCGAAAAUCCGGGGCUCAACCCCGGACUUGCAGUGGGUACGGGCAGACUAGAGUGUGGUAGGGGAGACUGGAAUUCCUGGUGUAGCGGUGAAAUGCGCAGAUAUCAGGAGGAACAUCGAUGGCGAAGGCAGGUCUCUGGGCCACUACUGACGCUGAGAAGCGAAAGCAUGGGGAGCGAACAGG